AAAACGGUAAGCAAAAACCUUAGAUGCACGAGUCUCCUAGCUUCUCCAACCUUCAGUGGAUUUGUUCAUGGGAUUGGAACAGCCCGUAUUCCAAAAGAGCUUCUUGUUUGAAAAUCAAACUGCAAUAUUAGGACAUUGCUUAGAGCUUACUCUUAAUGUUACAAGUUCUCCAUUUCUUCCAACUGAAGACCAAACGUCCAAUGUAUGCUGAAUUUGGACACUCCUCAAG
Non-coding RNA from Pelobates cultripes (western spadefoot toad), 229 nucleotides. NCBI's taxonomy places the organism in Eukaryota, Metazoa, Chordata, Amphibia, Anura, Pelobatidae. The record is from the annotation of a GenBank genome assembly.